UACAGAGGUCUCAAGCGUUGUUCGGAUUCAUUGGGCGUAAAGGGUGCGUAGGUGGCGCCGUAAGUCGGGUGUGAAAUUUCGGAGCUUAACUCCGAAACUGCAUUCGAUACUGCGGUGCUUGAGGACUGGAGAGGUGAGUGGAACUGCGAGUGUAGAGGUGAAAUUCGUAGAUAUUCGCAAGAACACCAGUGGCGAAGGCGGCUCACUGGCCCGAUACUGACGCUGAGGUGCGAAAGCGUGGGGAGCAAACAGG
Molecule: ribosomal RNA, 253 nt
Filed under: uncultured bacterium
Lineage: Bacteria
Description: partial 16S ribosomal RNA
Rfam family: Bacterial small subunit ribosomal RNA
Source: RNAcentral